AUGCGUGCUCUGGGUGCCUGGGCAGGUUGUGACACCCACCUUAUGCUGCAAUGUGAAGAUUUAACCUUUUUUUUCCCCAUAACUUCAGGAUUUUGCAACCGAUUCAGUAUUGUGGUGGGGAAGGGACCUGUGCACAUCAUCCCUUGCUGGGGGCUGAGGAUGCUCGGAGGGGUUUGGGGAAGCCUCAAGCUCCAUCCCAGCCACCACAAAACAUCUGGCGGGGAAACACGGCCCCAGGGGAGGGGACAAAUCCCCACCAGGAGGCUGGGGACAUUUUUGGGGAGCACAACCAGGCUGAGCACCACGGGGGGACACUCGUGUCCUCGAGGCUGGGCUGGCAGGGCCGUGGUGGAGCAGAAAAUCCUCGCCGGAGCCAAUUUCGGCUGCGCUCUCAGUUUCGGGGGCACGGCCACCUUUGAGGGAGGAGAGGUGGAUGACAUUCUCCCAAUUUCUCCCUUUUUUUUUUCCUUCCAGCUGGCACCAAGUGGAAAAGGACCUUGUCGUGGGCGGCCUCGCGGGACCCCGAAAACUCCCCUCAGGAGGAAGGUGGUGGCAGAGGUAAAAAACUGCAGAUCAAGCCCCGGCUGUGAGCGUUGUCCCCACGGCAGCCGACCAGCUCAGGAAAAGCCAAAACCAGGCUUCAUCGCCUGGCACCUACCUCAGGACCCCGUGCCGGGACGUGGCACCCCCUUUUUUGCGUUGAGUUUUGGGAUGUGGUUUGGCCAGGGAGCCCGGCAGCGGCGCGGAGGGAGCGGCGCCCAGUCCGCGUGGCUCAGGGAGGUGGUUUUGUUGAAGCUGUUUGGUUUCUUAUUAUUUUAUUUUCCCAAUAAAUUCUCUUUUAAGGUGGUUUAUUUAAGGCUGAAGGGCACGCGGGCGCUGCUCGGAUGCGGGACCCGAGCGCCCGGUGGUCGUCCACGGCCACGUGUCCGCCUCCAGGUUUGGGACAACGAGCCUGAUGGUCUCAAGUCAUCGGGAUGAGAUGUAGCAGGGCGUAAAGCCCCCACCUGGCUCGGCUUUCCCAAAAUCACAGCCCACCUGCAUCCAUCCUGCUCCGUCCCUUCUCUUUAGGAGUGUUUGGAGCGGAGCCACGUGCCAGGCAUCACCGUGGGCCAAUUCCCUCGCAGCACGCCCGUCCCAGCGGGGUUUUUGCUCUUUUGGAAGACCCCAACCAGCUCUUUUUGGGGUCUUUGGGAAUCCGGACGGGAGCAAAGCAAACCUCCAGGCUGGUAGGAAAUAACCCCGGGACCGCAGCUGCUCCGCGCGUCGUGGGCGCAUCCUAAAUGUCGAGCCGUUGUCCCUGCUGCGGUGUGGAUCUAAUAUCUCACGGCGUGGGUGUGAUGAGCUGUGCAAAUCUCAGCUCCUCCCGGCCGCCUGCUGGCCAGCCAGUGCUGUGGGGCUUUUUUUUGCAUCCGCGGGUUCAAUUUCAACCCCAAAUUCCGUUUGCUUUCGGCCUCUCGGGUGCGAUUUUGAGGACGGGGAGGCAGGAUUUGCCCACCCGCUGUCCCUAAACAGCAGCUCCUGGGGGCAAACUCGAUCUAGGAACCCUUUGGGGGAAGAGGCAGGGCUGCACAAAGCAGGGCUGCGUGCCCCGUGGGGACAUUUUCCUGGCUCUGCCUGCCCGUGCCAAAAUAUUUGUGCACCAACCCCCUUUUUGCUCGCUCCCCACGUGCGCAGCGCCCUUCACCCUGCUGCUGGCAGAGCUCGGCCGUUUUCUUUACACCCCCGAGCCCCUCCUCGGCGUUUCCAACCCGGAGCCAGCUCCAGCAGGCACGGGGGGGUGAGCUCAGGGGGUGCUCGGUGUCCCCGGGGAGCUGGCACCCAGCUGGGCUCGGCCGUGGGGUGGGCGACGAAGCCACCGCGCCGCAGCGGGCUCAGCUGCAACCGCGGCUCCGGCGAGGCUGACGGCUGCGUUUUCACCCCCUCCACGAUCCCAAAGGGGGGGGUUCACAUCCCCGAACGAGCUGGGUGACUGCACCCCACGGACAUGGGGUUGUUGUUACCCCGUCCAUACCCUGCCUGGUUCCUUUUUGGGGUCACGGGAUUUAUGGCACGCAGAGCCCCCCCCUCCCCUCCCCAAAUCCCGGUCAUGUUUCGCCCCAAGUGCCUGGCGCACGGCUCGGGGCAUGGCAGGCCACCGAGGGCCCUAUUAAUUAAUUAAUGCCUCUCGCCUCCCUGGGUUCCUCGUUAUGGGCAGCCAGGGGGUUUAAUGCCACGUGGAGGCGAGCUGGGGGUGGCCGUGUCCCCAGCAUCCCCCCCCCGGUGUCCCCCCUCCUCGGUGCGGCGGGCAGCGCACGGCGUGUGUACGGAGCUCUCCUCGCCCCGAGCUGUUUUUAAUAAAGAUGUCAUCCCCCCCCCUCCCCCCCACCUCGUUACCUCCAUGUCUUUUAUUAACCUGUGCGUUUUGAUAUUUAAAUAAAGGAGUUCCUGCCUCGAAAACAGCGCUCGUCUUUCAGUGGAGUCUCGUGGUGGUGGUGGGGGGGGUGAAACGGGCACAAAUCCCCCUCCUGGCAGAGGGGCUGCACCCCCAAAACCCAAAUCUUCCAGCGUUUGGUUUUUAAGUUGGCUGAAAAAACCUCCAGGAGGGGUUGGCCAGGGAAAGGUGUUUUAAUUUUUCACGUUUUCUAAAAAAAAAAAGGCAUUUUUUACAUGUGCCCGGUGAUGCUUUCUGGCAUCGAGUCAAAAACCUAAAUUCACCCAAAAUCACCCGGGAGGAGAUGGCGAAGUCCCCGGGGGUGGCCGGCGAGGGGUGACGGUGGCCGAGGAGCUUUGGCAGCUCCGGUACCAUCCCCAGCCCAGGGGCACGAGGCUGCAGCCCCCGUUACCGAGCAGGCUAACGAGGAUUAAAGCUCGCACCAAAAUAAUUAAGCGAGGCAAAGGCUCCGAAAGCCCCGGCUCUGCCGCCCACCGGCGCCUUCCCAGGGAAUAUUUUAAUUUAUUGCCAGCUGCUGCGGGGUGAUUGAUUUCCGAAAAGGGAUAAACGCAGCCCCCGGAGGGGUGUCACGGAGCCCUGGUGGUUUUUUUGCCCCCUCAAAGCAGCCCCGAUGGCUCGGCGAUGGGCACGGGGUGGCCAAAGGUGCCGCGCGAGCCCCACAAGGGACAAAUCCCAGGGGACAGCAGCUCCUUGGCAGCGGAGGGGGCCCCGGCGGGGGGACACACACGCACGCACGGGGCUGUGUUUUUGCAGGGCACACCGUAAACAUUUCCUGGAAAUCCCUCCCGUGUGGGCCAGGGCUGCUGGCACAGCUCUUGGUCCCCUGCCGGGGAAGCAGGUGCCGGGGGAGCAGCGCCCUCAAGCGUCGCCCUCGGGGUGGCCGUCCCCUUAGUCCCAUCCCAAGGGUGGGGGGCACAACUCUGGGCAAUUUUAUCCCCCCCUGGGACAAAGUUGACACUCAGGGAUGAUUUUUAAUCCUCCCUAGGGGCUGGAGCCAAGCGAGGGGACGAGCACCGAGACGGUGCCACCAGCCCUACAGUGGGGCACCCCCCGUUACCCCAAUGGGGACGGCCACCUCGUUGUCCCCACGAUGGCCACCCAGGGCCACCAGCCAGCACCCCCACACUCUGGUUUCACACCCAGGGAAACCGAGGCAGCACCCCUAUGGGAUCGAGGCACCCGGCCCCGCUCCGAGGGUUAAAGGAUCGCCCGAGCUGCCCGCUCUAAAAGCACGGGGUGACGCCACCCCGCUGCCAUCCCAUAGCCUCCAACCUGGUUAUGUCACUCGACCGCCCGCGAGUAAACUUAGAUGACCGAGCUGCUCGGCGUGGCGGGGAGGGACGGGGGACGGGGACAUGCCACGGGGCCCUCGGCCGCCCCACUGUACCCGGCCGCCCCGCUAAAAAUACCCCCCAAAGAGGGCAAGCGACGACGGCCCCGCUUGGAGCCCGGCCCGGCCCUAAUCCCUCCGUGGCUCUUGGCCACCGUGGGCGGCUGCUGCUAACGUGGUGGCCCCUGCGGGAAGGGAGCCCAAAAUUUUGGGUGCCCCGAGGGUGUCCCAAGGGUGCCACGGGGCCGUGGUGGCACGGCAGUGGGGUGGUGGCACCCACAGGGUCCCCACAUCCUACAGGCGCCGCCUUUGGGGUCACAACUGGGCUGCAAAAUCUGCUUAUAAUUUUUUUGGGGGGUGUUUUUCCCCUUUUUGGGAGUUUAAGGUAGAGGGGCACGUGCAUGGUGUCAUUCUCUGCGUUUUCCAAGCUGGAGGAGCAGCAUUUUUAUUUCUUUAUUUUUAUUUUUUUUUUUGCUACAAAAUGGAGAAAAAGUGGUUAAAAUCCCCCUACAAAAAUAAAUAAAUAANNNNNNNNNNCCUACAAAAAAAAAAAAAUAAUUUUUUUUUUUUUUUUUUUUUUUUUUUUUACUCCCUGGCUCGGUUUGCUUUGGGUUUUCCCCCAGAUUUUCCCUCUCCAGCCUCACCUCUGCCUGUAACCGUGUCCCCCCUCCAGGGGUUGGGACAAAGCCUCCACCCCCCCACCUCUGUUUUAUUUUGGUAGAAAAAGGAUGGGGAAGGGGACAAAAAGCACCCAGCCCCCCCCCCCGAUUUUAUUUAUCC
Molecule: long non-coding RNA, 4541 nt
Filed under: Anas zonorhyncha (Eastern spot-billed duck)
Lineage: Eukaryota; Metazoa; Chordata; Aves; Anseriformes; Anatidae
Description: lncRNA (ENSAZOG00000003440.1)
Source: RNAcentral